This 301-nucleotide ribosomal RNA is filed under the name uncultured bacterium. Its description in RNAcentral is "partial 16S ribosomal RNA". It matches the Rfam family "Bacterial small subunit ribosomal RNA", at positions 509 to 807 of the family's 1533-position model. The record is from RNAcentral.
CAGCCGCCACGGUAAUACAGAGGGUGCGAGCGUUAAUCGGAUUUACUGGGCGUAAAGCGUGCGUAGGCGGCUUUUUAAGUCGGAUGUGAAAUCCCUGAGCUUAACUUAGGAAUUGCAUUCGAUACUGGGAAGCUAGAGUAUGGGAGAGGAUGGUAGAAUUCCAGGUGUAGCGGUGAAAUGCGUAGAGAUCUGGAGGAAUACCGAUGGCGAAGGCAACCAUCUGGCCUAAUACUGACGCUGAGGUACGAAAGCAUGGGGAGCAAACAGGAUUAGAUACCCCCGUAGUCCCUGUCUCUUAUAC